This 66-nucleotide transfer RNA is filed under the name Caliscelis shandongensis. RNAcentral's name for it is "tRNA-Pro". The record is from RNAcentral. Lineage: Eukaryota; Metazoa; Arthropoda; Insecta; Hemiptera; Caliscelidae.
CAGUAAAUAUUUUAAUAAAAAUAUUAGUUUUGGAGACUAGAGAUUUAGAAAUAUCUUUUUUACUGA